AUGUAUAUUGUAGGUAUUUUUGUAACUAAUUUAGCAAUAGAGGUUAGUGUAAAGGCAUUGUUCUGUUUAUUAAACUGUUUGUUUUUCCGUCUUUGUCUUAGGUUGGAUGAUGAUGUUUGGGAAGUUCAAGUACAUUUUCAUAACAGAGAUAACCUUGAGAGGACCAUGUGCAUUUCAGACAUAACAAAUCAUAAUCUGAUAGAACUCAUAGAGACUGAAGGAUAUGGUUCUAGGGAUUACAUGUGUUUUGUUAGAAAUGUUGGUGUGGGGAUAACAGGAUUGGAAGAGACUAGUGAUGAUGAUAAGGUGGAUGAAAUGCUUAACCAUAUUGCUAAUGAAGAUAAGAAGAUAGUUAACCUCACAGUCACUAGGGACACCGGUCCAAGACCUGUUGAUCUAAAUAAAUGCCAUGUUUGUGAGCAGCAACUUCCUUUUAGUGAUUUUGGAGAGCCCACCAUGUAUGAAAUAAAUAAUGAUGGAGUUCUGUUCAUAUCACCAUCCAAAAAUUUAGAGGGAGCAGCACAAGUUCAGCACGCAAAUGCACUCUAG
RNAcentral lists this ribosomal RNA (549 nucleotides) under Triticum aestivum (bread wheat). RNAcentral's name for it is "partial small subunit ribosomal RNA". Lineage: Eukaryota; Viridiplantae; Streptophyta; Magnoliopsida; Poales; Poaceae. The record is from RNAcentral.